UGUUAUUCUAACAAGAGAAUACAAACUGAAUUAAUAUUAACUCAUGUUUUUAGGCCCAGUCCAAGGUACCAAUGUAGAGUUAUGACAUCAUGAACUGCUUGUAUAACCUCAUCAGAUAGAUGACCAACAGUGACAGAUACAUGGUGGAAAAGUGGCUUGUAAAGAUAAUUACUUUAUAGCAAAGAAAUUACAAUUGACCAAGCGCAUUCAAUCUUGUAGCUUGACAACUUCUAUUCUAUGAUCCUCUUAUUUCCUACUCCAAAAUUAAUCCAUUAGUGGGAUAUCUACUCUAUAAAAACAAAGAACAGCAACCACUCACACACAACCAAAUGUAUAUACAGGACUACAGAAGACUUCUAAGUAGACCGUGAACAUCAAAGUUUGAGCAUAUCAAAUACCUAUAAGAUUUUUGUUUAAGUAACUCCUUACAAUUGAAUUUUA
This 441-nucleotide unclassified non-coding RNA is filed under the name Hevea brasiliensis (rubber tree). Lineage: Eukaryota; Viridiplantae; Streptophyta; Magnoliopsida; Malpighiales; Euphorbiaceae. The record is from RNAcentral.